GCCUGUCUCCUGGUAGCGCCUCCAUGCUCUGGACACUACGCUGACAGACACAGCAAACCUUCUUGCCACAGCUCGCAUUGAUGUGCCAUCCUGGAUGAGCUGCACUACCUGAGCCACUUGUGUGGGUUGUAGACUCCGUCUCAUGCUACCACUAGAGUGAAAGCACCGCCAGCAUUCAAAAGUGACCAAAACAUCAGCCAGG
Molecule: non-coding RNA, 202 nt
Organism: Pelobates cultripes (western spadefoot toad)
Lineage: Eukaryota; Metazoa; Chordata; Amphibia; Anura; Pelobatidae
Source: the annotation of a GenBank genome assembly